RNAcentral lists this non-coding RNA (18 nucleotides) under Arabidopsis thaliana (thale cress). The record is from RNAcentral. Lineage: Eukaryota; Viridiplantae; Streptophyta; Magnoliopsida; Brassicales; Brassicaceae.
CUCCCACACUAUGGAUCA